Molecule: ribosomal RNA, 365 nt
Filed under: Leporinus piau
Lineage: Eukaryota; Metazoa; Chordata; Actinopteri; Characiformes; Anostomidae
Description: partial 12S ribosomal RNA
Rfam family: Bacterial small subunit ribosomal RNA
Source: RNAcentral
UGUUGAGCCCACAAACAACAUCCGCCAGGGUACUACGAGCGCUAGCUUAAAACCCAAAGGACUUGACGGUGUCUCAGACCCACCUAGAGGAGCCUGUUCUAGAACCGAUAAUCCCCGUUCAACCUCACCACCCCUUGCUUUUCCCGCCUAUAUACCGCCGUCGCAAGCUUACCCUGUGAAGGACCUACAGUAAGCAAAAUGAGUACAACCCAAAACGUCAGGUCGAGGUGUAGCUCACGAGGUGGAAAGAAAUGGGCUACAUUUUCUUCAACAGAAUAUUACGGACAACGCUAUGAAACCAGUGUUUUAAGGUGGAUUUAGUAGUAAAAAACAAAUAGAGUGUGUUUUUGAACCAGGCUCUGAGA